RNAcentral lists this ribosomal RNA (415 nucleotides) under uncultured bacterium. RNAcentral describes it as "bacterial SSU rRNA". It matches the Rfam family "Bacterial small subunit ribosomal RNA", at positions 355 to 794 of the family's 1533-position model. The record is from RNAcentral.
UGGGGAAUAUUGGACAAUGGGCGCAAGCCUGAUCCAGCCAUGCCGCGUGAGUGAUGAAGGCCUUAGGGUUGUAAAGCUCUUUCAGUGGGGAAGCGGUACCCACAGAAGAAGCCCCGGCUAACUUCGUGCCAGCAGCCGCGGUAAUACGAAGGGGGCUAGCGUUGUUCGGAUUUACUGGGCGUAAAGCGCACGUAGGCGGAAUGUUAAGUCGGGGGUGAAAUCCCGGGGCUCAACCCCGGAACUGCCUUCGAUACUGGCAAUCUAGAGUCCGGAAGAGGUGAGUGGAACUCCUAGUGUAGAGGUGGAAUUCGUAGAUAUUAGGAAGAACACCAGUGGCGAAGGCGGCUCACCGGUCCGGUACUGACGCUGAGGUGCGAAAGCGUGGGGAGCAAACAGGAUUAGAUACCCGAGUAGU